Molecule: transfer RNA, 61 nt
Filed under: Actinotignum urinale
Lineage: Bacteria; Bacillati; Actinomycetota; Actinomycetes; Actinomycetales; Actinomycetaceae
Also listed under: 2 other names
Rfam family: tRNA
About the family: Transfer RNA (tRNA) molecules are approximately 80 nucleotides in length. Their secondary structure includes four short double-helical elements and three loops (D, anti-codon, and T loops). Further hydrogen bonds mediate the characteristic L-shaped molecular structure. tRNAs have two regions of fundamental functional importance: the anti-codon, which is responsible for specific mRNA codon recognition, and the 3' end, to which the tRNAs corresponding amino acid is attached (by aminoacyl-tRNA synthetases). tRNAs cope with the degeneracy of the genetic code in two manners: having more than one tRNA (with a specific anti-codon) for a particular amino acid; and 'wobble' base-pairing, i.e. permitting non-standard base-pairing at the 3rd anti-codon position.
Source: RNAcentral
CAUAGCUCAACGGCAGAGCAUUCGACUGUUAAUCGAAGGGUUGCUGGUUCGAAUCCAGCUG